AGACUGCACGUCAGGAGGUCCUAAAGGAGAGACAGAGUGGCCGGCUGCCCUCCCCGACCUUCCCUCCAAGGGGCCGUGUUGAGUCAGCAUGGCCAUCACCACACAUGCGGAAGCCGCUGGAUCCAUCCCAGAAGUGAUUUUCUGCUCGUGAAAUUUAUAUGCUCUUGAUUUGUUCCCUGAAGACUAAGGCUGCAGGCUUCUCAAGGUCCAGGACAAACGUGUACUCAGGUGUUUCAUGUAAAGCCGGGUUCACCUGGGAAGACCGUUGGGCUGCAGUAAGAAUGGCUUUGAAUUUCAGUCAGAAGAGAGGAGCUGGGAGAAGAGAUUUUUUGAGUGACAUUCUCGGCAGAAGGUCCCAGGGGACGUGCGUCUGUGCAGGGCUCUCUGGUGGACACCAAACACACUGCUUGAGAGAAGCCUUCGAUCAGCCAAGAUGCACACAGACAUGGCAGACAAGUUCAGAAGUGUCACCGUCUCUACAAUAAGACCCCUGUGCUGGAUAUUCUAAACGUGACCCGUGGAUGAAGCUGGGCUUCUGGCAAGUUCUCUACAUGAAAUGCAUUGUGUCGAUGACCUCUCUUAGGAAAAAACAUGCUUCUCUCGGACAACUCAUUUGACUUUAGUUUAUGGACAAUGUGAAACACAUAUUUAACCUCUCCUAUUAGGCCCCUAGGCACUUUAGAUUUAUAGCUUAUCUCAAGAAAAGAAUAGAAUUAAUUUUUCUGUGCUAAACCUCUACCUCGUUUUAUUGUUUCCCUAGUUUCUUCUCCCCCAACUCAAUUUUUACUGUAGCUGAGUUUUUAUCCAUUCAAUUUCAUUAUGAA
Molecule: long non-coding RNA, 824 nt
Organism: Artibeus jamaicensis (Jamaican fruit-eating bat)
Lineage: Eukaryota; Metazoa; Chordata; Mammalia; Chiroptera; Phyllostomidae
Exons: 4
Source: RefSeq, a predicted model, not a curated record